Long non-coding RNA from Lolium rigidum, 1385 nucleotides. RefSeq lists it as uncharacterized. The record is from RefSeq and is a predicted model, not a curated record. Lineage: Eukaryota; Viridiplantae; Streptophyta; Magnoliopsida; Poales; Poaceae. The transcript has 6 exons.
ACGCCGUGUUCCCUCGCCGUUCGUCGACGCAGGCAUCUACAUCUUCCCGUCACCAUGGUCGUCGUUGGGCAAGAUCGGCCUGGCGCACGCGGCGAUGUCCGGCGUCAUUUUGCAUCAGCGGGCCGGCCACCACAUCGCCGACGGGAAAGCUACCACAUGUAGUGCUCUGCGUAGCUGUGCUCUUGCUAACUUGGUUCAUGGCUAGUUGGUGUGAGAUUCACGGGGAAGUAUGGAUCCCUGGAAGAUUUAGGAAUCAGGGAGCCAGCUUUGGGCCUACUCGAGGAAGUACUUUCACGCUGAUAGAUGGACAUUCAAGUAAAAACAAGGGAUGAACUCAACUUGCUUUUGGGAUCUCUUAUUUAGUGAUGGCUUUGGAGAGAUAUUGGUACAAAUGAUAAUCAAGUAAACUGGGAUUUCUAAAUCUUGUUGAAGAAGAUUGUUCUAUCCCUUUGGACGUCCCUAAAUUAGCUAGGAAAUUAAUUGGCUUUUGCUCAGUGAUCAUGUAUGUUCCAGGAGUUGAAAUUGUCAUAUAUAUCCAACUAUUUUCUAUCGCUGGAAAUUUAAUAUAAUUUCUUAUGUAGCAGUGAACUAAGAUGUAUGCUGAACUAGGAGCAGCACAUCCGUCAGAUUUCAAGUUUGUUGGACUAGUGAUAGUUGGGUAAUAGAAGUAUUGUCCCAACCAUAAUUUGAUUGCACGAAGAGCUUUUGGCAUCAAUGAACUGGUACCGCAGAUCGACCAAGGGCAAUCCCGCAGCAGGUGGAAACCAGCACGGCAGUUUCAUCCAUGCUCCAGAUUCUUGUUGUCUAGUGAACCUUUGGUUUCUGCUAUACCUUUGGUGGAGGUAAUCAAAAGCAUGACUCCUUGUGCUAUUCCUUCAUAUUAUUUGCUUCUCCUGCCUUGUAAAGUAUAGGUGGAAAAUGGCAUUAGGACUUUGACUCCUUGUAAACUACAUCUGAACCAAAGUAAGCACUGAGUAAAUGGCUGCAAAUUCUGAUACUAAUUAACAUCUGAUUUUAUCUUUCAGCUAGACGGUAUUAACGUGAUCUGCCUUUCAGCAACAAAUUCCAAUGAUUAAUACGUGGAAGGCUAGAGCAUUUAACAACACCUACAGAUGUACGUACACGCAACUUCUUCUUCAGUCGACAAUGCUAACUCAUGGUGUAUCGAUAGCUGGAGAGGGUGUUUUUGAAGAUCUGCGUGGAUUCUUAGAGCUUGUCAAUGUUCCGGUGUAAGUUAACUAUAUUACAAAUAUUUAAAUUUGUGUAACUGAUCUUCAACCUUAGCUUUGGAGUGGCAUGUCCCAUGUAAUAGGCAUGCUUUGUAUUGUGGUUUGGUCGAAUUUUGUAUGAGAUUUUGCCUACAAAAUGCUAUAUUGUAUCUUCUA